Molecule: ribosomal RNA, 484 nt
Filed under: uncultured bacterium
Lineage: Bacteria
Description: partial 16S ribosomal RNA
Rfam family: Bacterial small subunit ribosomal RNA
Source: RNAcentral
AAUGAACGCUGGCGGCAUGCCUAACACAUGCAAGUCGAGCGGAUGAAGGGGGCUUGCUCCUGGAUGCAGCGGCGGACGGGUGGGUAAUGCCCAGGAAUCUGCCUUAUCUUGGGGGAUAACGUCCGUAAACGGGCGCUAAUACCACAUCCGUCCAUAUAUAGAACGUGGGGGAUCUUCGGUCCUCACGCUAUCAGAUGAGCCUAAGACGGAUUAGCGAGUUGGUGGGGUAAAGGCCUACCAAGGCGACGAACCGUAACUGGUAUGAGAGGAUGAUCAGACACACUGGAACUGAGACACGGUACAGACUCCUACGGGAGGAAGCAGUGGGGAAUAUUGCACAAUGGGGGAAAGCGUGAUCCAGCAAUGCCGGGUGAGUGAUGAAGGUCUUCGGCUUGUAAAGCGCUGUAAGUCGGGAGGAAGGAAAGUAAGUUUACCCCUGGCUGUUUUGACGGUACCAAAAGAAUAAGCACCGGCUAACUUCGUG